AAGAUAUCCUUCCGUUUCCAAAAUAACCUGACACAAAACAGAGACGAAGGCAGAGAUAAACAUUGAUCCAUGAGUUAGUGUCGUAGAGAGCAUCAACAAGACACCUUUUACUCUCUGAAGUAGUCCGUGCCACUCGAAUUCUGGAAUUACUAACCUCAGAGAUGCACAAAGUUCAUGGUCAAUAUUGUGAUGGAUCAGCAACCAUAGUAGUUUGCUGCAUCAAAGAGUUUAUAGGCUCAUAAAUUAAUUACAACACGAAAUUGAUAAUCACAUUUUGUAGAGAACAUCGCAUUCCAAAAUAGAUAUUUUGAUUUGCACUUUCACCUCCCGCUCCUUAGAUAUGUAGAUCAAAGAAUUUACCACUCAGAAGUGAGGAUCACAUAUUCAGUAGAGAAAUCUCAUUCCUAAAUAGAAAUGUGCAAGCUUCUAAAAAAUAGUUUUGAAGGUAACUCCAACCAAGAUACAC
This 466-nucleotide long non-coding RNA is filed under the name Triticum aestivum (bread wheat). Its description in RNAcentral is "long non-coding RNA (TAES_LNC027663)". Lineage: Eukaryota; Viridiplantae; Streptophyta; Magnoliopsida; Poales; Poaceae. The record is from RNAcentral.